UGCAAGUCGAACGGCAGCACGGGAGCAAUCCUGGUGGCGAGUGGCGAACGGGUGAGUAAUAUAUCGGAACGUGCCCAGUCGUGGGGGAUAACGUAGAGAAAUUUACGCUAAUACCGCAUACGAUCUACGGAUGAAAGCGGGGGACUCUGCAAAGGGCCUCGCGCGAUUGGAGCGGCUGAUAUCAGAUUAGGUUGUUGGUGAGGUAAAAGCUCACCAAGCCGACGAUCUGUAGCUGGUUUGAGAGAACGACCAGCCACACUGGGACUGAGACACGGCCCAGACUCCUACGGGAGGCAGCAGUGGGGAAUUUUGGACAAUGGGCGAAAGCCUGAUCCAGCAAUGCCGCGUGCAGGAAGAAGGCCUUCGGGUUGUAAACUGCUUUUGUACGGAACGAAAAGGUCUGCCCUAAUACGGCGGGCCCAUGACGGUACCGUAAGAAUAAGCACCGGCUAACUACGUGCCAGCAGCCGCGGUAAUACGUAGGGUGCGAGCGUUAAUCGGAAUUACUGGGCGUAAAGCGUGCGCAGGCGGUGAUGUAAGACAGUUGUGAAAUCCCCGGGCUCAACCUGGGAAUUGCAUCUGUGACUGCAUCGCUAGAGUACGGUAGAGGGGGAUGGAAUUCCGCGUGUAGCAGUGAAAUGCGUAGAUAUGCGGAGGAACACCGAUGGCGAAGGCAAUCCCCUGGACCUGUACUGACGCUCAUGCACGAAAGCGUGGGGAGCAAACAGGAUUAGACACCCUGGUAGUCCACGCCCUAAACGAUGUCAACUGGUUGUUGGGUGCAUUAGUACUCAGUAACGAAGCUAACGCGUGAAGUUGACCGCCUGGGGAGUACGGCCGCAAGGUCGAAACUCAAAGGAAUUGACGGGGACCCGCACAAGCGGUGGAUGAUGUGGUUUAAUUCGAUGCAACGCGAAAACCUUACCUACCUUUGACAUG
RNAcentral lists this ribosomal RNA (939 nucleotides) under uncultured Polaromonas sp. RNAcentral describes it as "bacterial SSU rRNA". It matches the Rfam family "Bacterial small subunit ribosomal RNA", at positions 56 to 988 of the family's 1533-position model. Lineage: Bacteria; Pseudomonadati; Pseudomonadota; Betaproteobacteria; Burkholderiales; Comamonadaceae. The record is from RNAcentral.